GCCAGGUGCAGUGGAGCACACCUGUAAACCCAGCUACUUGGGAGGCUGAGGCAGGAGGAUUGAAGUUCAAGGCCAGCCUAGGCCACUCAGGGAGACCCUGUCUCAA
RNAcentral lists this small RNA (106 nucleotides) under Marmota monax (woodchuck). The record is from RNAcentral. Lineage: Eukaryota; Metazoa; Chordata; Mammalia; Rodentia; Sciuridae.